GAUGAACGCUGGCGGCGUGCCUAAUACAUGCAAGUCGAGCGAACGUACGAGAAGCUUGCUUCUCUGAUGUUAGCGGCGGACAGGUGAGUAACACGUGGAUAACCGACCUAUAAGACUGGGAUAACUUCGGGAAACCGGAGCUAAUACGGGAUAAUAUUUUGUACCGCAUGGUUCAAAAGUAUAAAACGGUCUUGCUGUCAUUUAUGGAUGUAUCCGCGCUGCAUUAGCUAGUUGGUAAGGUAACGGCUUACCAAGGCAACGAUGCAUAGCCGACCUGAGAGGGUGAUCGGCCACACUGGAACUGAGACACGGUCCGGACUCCUACGGGAGGCAGCAGUAGGGAAUCUUCCGCAAUGAGCGAAAGCCUGACGGAGCAACGCCGCGUAGGUGAUGAAGGUUUUCGGUUCGUAAAACUCUGUUAUUAGGGAAGACCAUAUGUGUAAGUAACUGUGCACAUCUUGACGGUACCUAAUCAGAAAGCCACGGCUAACUACGUG
RNAcentral lists this ribosomal RNA (497 nucleotides) under uncultured bacterium. Its description in RNAcentral is "partial 16S ribosomal RNA". It matches the Rfam family "Bacterial small subunit ribosomal RNA", at positions 28 to 507 of the family's 1533-position model. The record is from RNAcentral.